RNAcentral lists this unclassified non-coding RNA (348 nucleotides) under Hevea brasiliensis (rubber tree). The record is from RNAcentral. Lineage: Eukaryota; Viridiplantae; Streptophyta; Magnoliopsida; Malpighiales; Euphorbiaceae.
GAGCUGAGGGGAGGUGAAUGGGGAUAGGUACAGGUUUGGUGAGAGCUCAGGCGAUGGAAUGAAGCCUCCAAGUUUCACUUUUCGAAAAUAGUUCGGUUUUGGAUCCUUUAGAUGUGAGUGUGCCCGAUCUGGUAGAAUGAAGGCCAAAGCUUGCUGCUGGGGAGAUCGAUGGAGUAGGCGGACACCUUCACCGGCGCCGGUGAAGAGCAUCUCAGGCUCUUUUUCUUCUUCUUUUUUUUGGACAAAUUUGAGAGGAUUGAAGCUCGCCGGACUUACAUGGACCGGUAGUUGACGGGUUUGGGAGGGCUCAAUGUUGACUCAUGAGUGAGAGGAAGAAAAAAAGAGCGG